GACGAACGCUGGCGGCGUGCUUAACACAUGCAAGUCGAACGGAAAGGCCCUGCUUUUGUGGGGUGCUCGAGUGGCGAACGGGUGAGUAACACGUGAGUAACCUGACCUUGACUUUGGGAUAACUUCAGGAAACUGGGGCUAAUACCGGAUAGGAGCUCCUGCUGCAUGGUGGGGGUUGGAAAGUUUCGGCGGUUGGGGAUGGACUUGCGGCUUAUCAGCUUGUUGGUGGGGUAGUGGCUUACCAAGGCUUUGACGGGUAGCCGGCCUGAGAGGGUGACCGGCCACAUUGGGACUGAGAUACGGCCCAGACUCCUACGGGAGGCAGCAGUGGGGAAUAUUGCACAAUGGGCGGAAGCCUGAUGCAGCAACGCCGCGUGCGGGAUGACGGCCUUCGGGUUGUAAACCGCUUUCGCCUGUGACGAAGCGUGAGUGACGGUAAUGGGUAAAGAAGCACCGGCUAACUACGUG
Molecule: ribosomal RNA, 468 nt
Filed under: uncultured bacterium
Lineage: Bacteria
Description: partial 16S ribosomal RNA
Rfam family: Bacterial small subunit ribosomal RNA
Source: RNAcentral